AGUCCCUACGGGGGGCAGCAGUGGGGAAUCUUCCGCAAUGGGCGAAAGCCUGACGGAGCAACGCCGCGUGAAUGAAGAAGGUCUUCGGAUCGUAAAGUUCUGUUCUUAGGGAAGAAGUCUUAGGUUGUGAACAAUGACUUAAGGUGACGGUACCUAUGGAGGAAGCUCCGGCUAACUACGUGCCAGCAGCCGCGGUAAUACGUAGGGAGCGAGCGUUGUCCGGAAUUACUGGGCGUAAAGGGCGCGUAGGCGGGAACUUACGUUAGAUGUGAAAUGUCCGGGCUAAACCUGGAGACUG
This 298-nucleotide ribosomal RNA is filed under the name uncultured bacterium. RNAcentral describes it as "partial 16S ribosomal RNA". It matches the Rfam family "Bacterial small subunit ribosomal RNA", at positions 334 to 623 of the family's 1533-position model. The record is from RNAcentral.